GGCGACGAUCAGUAGCCGGACUGAGAGGUUGAUCGGCCACAUUGGGACUGAGACACGGCCCAGACUCCUACGGGAGGCAGCAGUGGGGAAUAUUGCACAGUGGAGGAAACUCUGAUGCAGCGAUGCCGCGUGAGGGAAGAAGGUUUUAGGAUUGUAAACCUCUGUCUUCAGGGACGAAAAAAGACGGUACCUGAGGAGGAAGCUCCGGCUAACUACGUGCCAGCAGCCGCGGUAAUACGUAGGGAGCGAGCGUUGUCCGGAAUUACUGGGUGUAAAGGGAGCGUAGGCGGGAUCGCAAGUCAGAUGUGAAAACUAUGGGCUUAACCCAUAAACUGCAUUUGAAACUGUGGUUCUUGAGUGAAGUAGAGGUAAGCGGAAUUCCUAGUGUAGCGGUGAAAUGCGUAGAUAUUAGGAGGAACAUCAGUGGCGAAGGCGGCUUACUGGGCUUUAACUGACGCUGAGGCUCGAAAGCGUGGGGAGCAAACAGGAUUAGAUACCCUGGUAGUCCACGCCGUAAACGAUGAUUACUAGGUGUGGGGGGACUGACCCCUUCCGUGCCGCAGCAAACGCAAUAAGUAAUCCACCUGGGGAGUACGACCGCAAGGUUGAAACUCAAAGGAAUUGACGGGGGCCCGCACAAGCAGUGGAGUAUGUGGAUUAAUUCGAAGCAACGCGAAGAACCUUACCAGGUCUUGACAUCGUAUGCAUAGCUCAGAGAUGAGUGAAAUCUCUUCGGAGACAUAUAGACAGGUGGUGCAUGGUUGUCGUCAGCUCGUGUCGUGAGAUGUUGGGUUAAGUCCCGCAACGAGCGCAACCCUUACUGUUAGUUGCUACGCAAGAGCACUCUAGCAGGACUGCCGUUGACAAAACGGAGGAAGGUGGGGAUGACGUCAAAUCAUCAUGCCCCUUAUGACCUGGGCCUCACACGUACUACAAUGGCUGUCAACAGAGGGAAGCAAAGCCGCGAGGUGGAGCGAACCCCUAAAAGCAGUCUUAGUUCGGAUUGUAGGCUGCAACCCGCCUACAUGAAGUCGGAAUUGCUAGUAAUCGCAGAUCAGCAUGCUGCGGUGAAUACGUUCCCGGGCCUUGUACACACCGCCCGUCACGCCAUGGGAGUCGGUAACACCCGAAGCCUGUAGUCUAACCGCAAGGAGGACGCAGUCGAAGGUGGGAUUGAUGACUGGGGUGAAGUCGUAACAAGGUA
This 1204-nucleotide ribosomal RNA is filed under the name metagenome. RNAcentral's name for it is "bacterial SSU rRNA". It matches the Rfam family "Bacterial small subunit ribosomal RNA", at positions 272 to 1498 of the family's 1533-position model. The record is from RNAcentral.